Molecule: ribosomal RNA, 342 nt
Filed under: uncultured Sphingobacteriales bacterium
Lineage: Bacteria; Pseudomonadati; Bacteroidota; Sphingobacteriia; Sphingobacteriales
Description: bacterial SSU rRNA
Rfam family: Bacterial small subunit ribosomal RNA
Source: RNAcentral
CUGCAUGGUUGUCGUCAGCUCGUGCCGUGAGGUGUCGGGUUAAGUCCCAUAACGAGCGCAACCCCUAUCAUUAGUUGCCAUCAGGUCAAGCUGGGGACUCUAAUGAAACUGCCUACGCAAGUAGUGAGGAAGGUGGGGAUGACGUCAAAUCAGCACGGCCCUUACGUCCAGGGCUACACACGUGCUACAAUGGCCGGUACAAAGGGCAGCUACCUGGUGACAGGAUGCUAAUCUCAAAAGCCGGUCUCAGUUCGGAUCGGAGUCUGCAACCCGACUCCGUGAAGCUGGAAUCGCUAGUAGUCGCGCAUCAGCCAUGGCGCGGUGAAUACGUUCCCGGGCCUU